This 519-nucleotide ribosomal RNA is filed under the name uncultured bacterium. RNAcentral's name for it is "partial 16S ribosomal RNA". It matches the Rfam family "Bacterial small subunit ribosomal RNA", at positions 28 to 523 of the family's 1533-position model. The record is from RNAcentral.
GAUGAACGCUGGCGGCGUGCCUAAGGCAUGCAAGUCGAGCGCGAAAGUUCCUUCGGGAGCGAGUAGAGCGGCGGACGGGUGAGUAAUACAUAGGUAAUCUACCUUCGAGCUUGGGAUAACCCCGCGAAAGUGGGGCUAAUACCGGAUAAGACCACGUAAUUAUUUUACGGGGUAAAAGGUGGCUUAUUUUUUAAAUGAGCUAUCACUUGAGGAUGAGCCUGUGGCCUAUCAGCUAGUUGGCGGGGUAAGAGCCCACGAAGGCUAUGACGGGUAGGUGGUCUGAGAGGACGACCAGCCACACUGGGACUGAGAGACGGCCCAGGCUCCUACGGGAGGCAGUAGUGGGGAAUAUUGGGCAAUGGGCGAAAGCCUGACCCAGCGACGCCGCGUGGGCGAUGAAGGCCUUCGGGUUGUAAAGCCCUGUCAUGCGGAAAGAACGACCCUGAGACGCAUACUCUCAGGGAGUGACGGUACCGCAGGAGGAAGCACCGGCUAACUCCGUGCCAGCAGCCGCCGCAG